AACUUUCGACAACGGAUCUCUUGGCUCUCGCAUCGAUGAAGAACGCAGCGAAAUGCGAUAAGUAAUGUGAAUUGCAGAAUUCAGUGAAUCAUCGAAUCUUUGAACGCACCUUGCGCCCUUUGGUAUUCCGAGGGGCAUGCCUGUUUGAGUGUCAUUGA
This 158-nucleotide ribosomal RNA is filed under the name Schizophyllum commune. RNAcentral describes it as "5.8S ribosomal RNA". It matches the Rfam family "5.8S ribosomal RNA". Rfam says of the family: 5.8S ribosomal RNA (5.8S rRNA) is a component of the large subunit of the eukaryotic ribosome. It is transcribed by RNA polymerase I as part of the 45S precursor that also contains 18S and 28S rRNA. Functionally, it is thought that 5.8S rRNA may be involved in ribosome translocation. Lineage: Eukaryota; Fungi; Basidiomycota; Agaricomycetes; Agaricales; Schizophyllaceae. The record is from RNAcentral.